AAGAAUUUAAGUUAAAAAAACUAAGGGUCUUCAAAACCCUCAAUGACUCUGUCAAUUCUUG
This 61-nucleotide transfer RNA is filed under the name Phascolosoma sp. MZK-2017. RNAcentral's name for it is "tRNA-Trp". The record is from RNAcentral. Lineage: Eukaryota; Metazoa; Annelida; Sipuncula; Phascolosomatiformes; Phascolosomatidae.